Molecule: transfer RNA, 40 nt
Filed under: Cleisostoma birmanicum
Lineage: Eukaryota; Viridiplantae; Streptophyta; Magnoliopsida; Asparagales; Orchidaceae
Description: partial tRNA-Asp
Source: RNAcentral
AGAAAGGAGUUGAUCCAUUCAUCGGAUCGGGACUGACGGG